This 253-nucleotide ribosomal RNA is filed under the name uncultured bacterium. RNAcentral describes it as "partial 16S ribosomal RNA". It matches the Rfam family "Bacterial small subunit ribosomal RNA", at positions 524 to 776 of the family's 1533-position model. The record is from RNAcentral.
UACGAAGGGGGCUAGCGUUGCUCGGAAUCACUGGGCGUAAAGCGCACGUAGGCGGCUUCUUAAGUCAGGGGUGAAAUCCUGGAGCUCAACUCCAGAACUGCCUUUGAUACUGGGAGUCUUGAGUUCGGGAGAGGUGAGUGGAACUGCGAGUGUAGAGGUGAAAUUCGUAGAUAUUCGCAAGAACACCAGUGGCGAAGGCGGCUCACUGGCCCGAUACUGACGCUGAGGUGCGAAAGCGUGGGGAGCAAACAGG